Long non-coding RNA from Passer domesticus (house sparrow), 659 nucleotides. RefSeq lists it as uncharacterized. The record is from RefSeq and is a predicted model, not a curated record. Lineage: Eukaryota; Metazoa; Chordata; Aves; Passeriformes; Passeridae. The transcript is spliced from 3 exons.
UCUGUCAUUCCAUUUUGGAAGCUUCUCCACGGCCUCAGGUCAAUGCAGUGUUCUCCUGGGGGUCAGUGCCUGGCAGCACAGAAAGUCUGGAAUUCUCAGCAGCCAGAACUCCAACAGCUUAGGAUUUAGAUGAUAAAAUCAAUGGUUUGGGUUGGAAAGGACCUUAGAGAUCAUCUUGUUCCACGGCCUGCCAUGGCCAGGGACACCUCCUACUAUCCCAGGCUGCUCCAAGCCCUGUCCAGCCUUGGACAAUUCCUUGGACACAACCUCUGUUCCAGGGAAUGCUGGCAGGUUUGGCUCUGUGCAUCAUACCACAAAAAUCUCACUCCUCCAGAAGAAGGCAAAUACACGGAGGAGCUUUCUACCAGGCUGAUCUCUGAGGGUGUCCUGCGGUCAACUCUCCAUUUGGAUGAGUUACCUGGGAAGGAACAUGAGUGGAAUUCCAGCGAGAGAAAGAAGGAUGUCUGCAGGAGGAGCUACCCAAGAGUAGUAAUUUAAAAUAUAUUCCAACUCACAAAUAUUUGAAGGAUUUUUCCAAACAUAACUCACAAGGGUUGCUGUGCUUAUUAAAUGCUUGUUAAGAAACUGCACAGCGCCUUGUCGCUGAGUUUUGACUGGGAAUCAUUAACACCCACUCAGUAACAUUUCACAUUCCAGGC